CAAGGAAUAGUUUAAUAAAAUAUUAAUUUUGGAGAUUAAAGAUAAGGUGUUCUUUUCCUUGA
Molecule: transfer RNA, 62 nt
Filed under: Laccoptera ruginosa
Lineage: Eukaryota; Metazoa; Arthropoda; Insecta; Coleoptera; Chrysomelidae
Description: tRNA-Pro
Source: RNAcentral